GGGGCUGUAGCUCAGUUGGUAGAGCGGCACAUUUGCAAUGUGUAGGUCAGCGGUUCGAUCCCGCUCAGCUCCACCA
This 76-nucleotide transfer RNA is filed under the name candidate division WWE3 bacterium. RNAcentral's name for it is "tRNA-Ala". It matches the Rfam family "tRNA". Rfam says of the family: Transfer RNA (tRNA) molecules are approximately 80 nucleotides in length. Their secondary structure includes four short double-helical elements and three loops (D, anti-codon, and T loops). Lineage: Bacteria; candidate division WWE3. The record is from RNAcentral.